GGUCCUAUCGUCUAAUUGGGAAGACACCUUGCGCAGGUAAUAGAGGUUCGAGCCCUCUUGGGACCA
This 66-nucleotide transfer RNA is filed under the name Desulfobulbaceae bacterium. Its description in RNAcentral is "tRNA-Arg". It matches the Rfam family "tRNA". From Rfam's summary of the family: Transfer RNA (tRNA) molecules are approximately 80 nucleotides in length. Lineage: Bacteria; Pseudomonadati; Thermodesulfobacteriota; Desulfobulbia; Desulfobulbales; Desulfobulbaceae. The record is from RNAcentral.